AGAGUUUGAUCUUCGCUCCAAAUGAACAAUGGCGUCUUGUUUAACACAUGCAAGUCGGAUGGGAAGUGGUGUUUCUAGUGGCGAACAGGUGAGUAACGCGUAAGAACCUACCCUUGGGAGGGGAACAACGGCAGGAAACAACUGUGAAUACCCCAUAGGCUGAGGAGAAAAAGGGGGGAUCCGCCCAAGGAGGGGCUCGCGCCUCAUUAGUUAUUUGGUGAGGCAAUAGCUUACCAAGGCGACGAUCAAUAGCUGGUCUGAGAGGAUGAUCAGCUACACUGGGACUGAGACACGACCCAUAAUCCUACAGGAGGCAGCAGUGGGGAAUUUUCUGCAAUGGGCGAAAUCCUGACAGAGCAAUGCCACAUGAAGGCAGAAGGCCCACGAGUCAUGUACUUCCUUUCUCGUAGAAGAAAAAAUGACGGUAUCUAAGGAAUAAGCAUCGGCUAACUCUAUGCUAGCAGCCGCGGUAAGAGAGAGGAUGCAAGCGUUAUCCAGAAUGAUUAGGCGUAAAGCAUCUGUAGGUGGCUUUUCAAGUCUACUGUCAAAUCCCUGGGCUCAACCCUAGACAGGCAGUGGAAACUACCAAGUUGGAGUACGGUAGGGGCAAAGGGAAUUUCCAGUGGAGUGGUGAAAUGCGUUGAGAUCGAAAAGAACACCAACAACGAAAGCACUCUGCUGGGCUGACACUGACACUGAGAGACAAAAGCUAGGGGAACAAAUGGGAUUAGAUUUACCCCAGUAGUCCUAGCCGUAAACGAGUUCUAAGUGCUGGCGUGAUCGACCCGCGCAGUGCUAGCUAACGCAGGUUAAGCCGCUGGGUGGGAUGAUUCUUUCGCUUUAAUAUAUUGAAAACUCAAAGGAUUGUACGGGGGCACACAAGCGGUGGAGGUGUUCAAUUCGAUGCAAACGCGCGAAAACCUUACUAGCCGACAUGCAGUGAUCCUCCCUGAAAGAGAGGAGUGCCCCAUGAGGUAUACGCUUACACUGUGGGGUGGGUGGUGCAUGGGUCGUCUCGUCGCCGUAAGGUGGUGUGUGUUAAGUAUCCCGCAACAUUUGAGCUUCUCCUCUGGGAUUUGCCUGAUGACCGCUAACAGACUGCGUGAAGCUUGUGAGGAAGGAGGAUUGACGUCAGUAUCAUGCCCUUACGGCCUGUGUGCAACACAUUGCAUACAAUGACCAGGACAAAGGGUCGCGACCGCCGCGAGGGCAAGCUAACCUCAAAAACUCGGCCUCAGUUCAGAUUGCAGGCUGCAACUCACCUGCAUGAAGCCGAAAUCGCUAGUAAUCGCCGGUCAACCAUACAACGAUGAAUCCGUUCCCGGGCCUU
RNAcentral lists this ribosomal RNA (1330 nucleotides) under Pinus taeda (loblolly pine). Its description in RNAcentral is "bacterial SSU rRNA". It matches the Rfam family "Bacterial small subunit ribosomal RNA", at positions 8 to 1382 of the family's 1533-position model. The record is from RNAcentral. Lineage: Eukaryota; Viridiplantae; Streptophyta; Pinopsida; Pinales; Pinaceae.